AACUUUUAACAACGGAUCUCUUGGUUCUCGCAUCGAUGGAGAACGUAGCAAAGUGCGAUAACUAGUGUGAAUUGCAUAUUCAGUGAAUCAUCGAGUCUUUGAACGCAUCUUGCGGUCGUUGGUAUUCCAACGACCACGCCUGUUUCAGUA
This 150-nucleotide ribosomal RNA is filed under the name Mucor sp. CBS 125018. Its description in RNAcentral is "5.8S ribosomal RNA". It matches the Rfam family "5.8S ribosomal RNA". Rfam says of the family: 5.8S ribosomal RNA (5.8S rRNA) is a component of the large subunit of the eukaryotic ribosome. Lineage: Eukaryota; Fungi; Mucoromycota; Mucoromycetes; Mucorales; Mucoraceae. The record is from RNAcentral.